GACGAACGCUGGCGGCGUGCCUAAUACAUGCAAGUUGAGCGCUGAAGGUUGGUACUUGUACCAACUGGAUGAGCAGCGAACGGGUGAGUAACGCGUGGGGAAUCUGCCUUUGAGCGGGGGACAACAUUUGGAAACGAAUGCUAAUACCGCAUAAAAACUUUAAACACAAGUUUUAAGUUUGAAAGAUGCAAUUGCAUCACUCAAAGAUGAUCCCGCGUUGUAUUAGCUAGUUGGUGAGGUAAAGGCUCACCAAGGCGAUGAUACAUAGCCGACCUGAGAGGGGGAUCGGCCACAUUGGGACUGAGACACGGCCCAAACUCCUACGGGAGGCAGCAGUAGGGAAUCUUCGGCAAUGGACGAAAGUCUGACCGAGCAACGCCGCGUGAGUGAAGAAGGGUUUCGGAUCGUAAAACUCUGUUGGUAGAGAAGAACGUUGGUGAGAGUGGAAAGCUCAUCAAGUGACGGUAACUACACAGAAAGGGACGGCUAACUACGUG
RNAcentral lists this ribosomal RNA (497 nucleotides) under uncultured bacterium. RNAcentral's name for it is "partial 16S ribosomal RNA". It matches the Rfam family "Bacterial small subunit ribosomal RNA", at positions 28 to 507 of the family's 1533-position model. The record is from RNAcentral.